GAUGAAGAACGGAGCGAAAUGCGAUAAGUAAUGUGAAUUGCAGAAUUCAGUGAAUCAUCGAAUCUUUGAACGCACCUUGCACUCCUUGGUAUUCCGAGGAGUACGCCUGUUCGAGUGUUAUGAAGCUCUCAAAACGCAAUUGGCUUAAAACCUGAUUGUUGUUUUGGAUUUGAACUUUGCCGUGUUAUAACGGCUGGUUUUAAAAGUAUUAGCUGGUACUAGAACGAAUUGGUUCUACUCAACGUGAUAAUUAUCUGAUCGUUGAGGACAUUCCUUUCACGAGGAAUGGCCAUAGUAAAUUCAAUGGACUGCUUCUAAUCUGGCUUUAAUUCUUUAUUGGAUUAACCACUUUUCAAAUCUGACCUCGAAUCAGGUGGGACUACCCGCUGAACUUAAGCAUAUCAAUAAGCGGAGGA
RNAcentral lists this unclassified non-coding RNA (416 nucleotides) under soil metagenome. RNAcentral's name for it is "partial contains 5.8S ribosomal RNA, internal transcribed spacer 2, and large subunit ribosomal RNA". The stretch from base 1 to 120 matches the Rfam family "5.8S ribosomal RNA", at positions 35 to 154 of the family's 154-position model. The record is from RNAcentral.